UACGGAGGAUCCAAGCGUUAUCCGGAUUUAUUGGGUUUAAAGGGAGCGUAGGUUGACAUAUAAGUCAGCUGUGAAAGUUUACGGCUCAACCGUGAAAUUGCAGUUGAUACUGUAUGUCUUGAGUGUACAAGAGGUGGGCGGAAUUCGUGGUGUAGCGGUGAAAUGCUUAGAUAUCACGAAGAACUCCAAUUGCGAAGGCAGCUCACUGGGGUACAACUGACACUGAGGCUCGAAAGUGUGGGUAUCAAACAGGAUUAGAUACCCUGGUAGUCCACACAGUAAACGAUGAAUACUCGCUGUUUGCGAUAUACAGUAAGCGGCCAAGCGAAAGCAUUAAGUAUUCCACCUGGGGAGUACGCCGGCAACGGUGAA
This 372-nucleotide ribosomal RNA is filed under the name uncultured bacterium. RNAcentral's name for it is "bacterial SSU rRNA". It matches the Rfam family "Bacterial small subunit ribosomal RNA", at positions 524 to 898 of the family's 1533-position model. The record is from RNAcentral.